GGGGAAUUUUGGACAAUGGGGGCAACCCUGAUCCAGCCAUGCCGCGUGAGUGAAGAAGGCCUUCGGGUUGUAAAGCUCUUUCGGACGGAAAGAAAUCGCGCAGGUAAAUAAUCUGCGUGGAUGACGGUACCGUAAGAAGAAGCACCGGCUAACUACGUGCCAGCAGCCGCGGUAAUACGUAGGGUGCGAGCGUUAAUCGGAAUUACUGGGCGUAAAGCGUGCGCAGGCGGCUUUGUAAGACAGGUGUGAAAUCCCCGGGCUUAACCUGGGAAUGGCGCUUGUGACUGCAAGGCUCGAGUGCGGCAGAGGGGGGUGGAAUUCCACGUGUAGCAGUGAAAUGCGUAGAGAUGUGGAGGAACACCGAUGGCGAAGGCAGCCCCCUGGGUCGACACUGACGCUCAUGCACGAAAGCGUGGGGAGCAAAC
This 425-nucleotide ribosomal RNA is filed under the name uncultured bacterium. RNAcentral's name for it is "bacterial SSU rRNA". It matches the Rfam family "Bacterial small subunit ribosomal RNA", at positions 356 to 773 of the family's 1533-position model. The record is from RNAcentral.